This is a long non-coding RNA of Etheostoma cragini (Arkansas darter), 486 nucleotides long. RefSeq lists it as uncharacterized. The transcript is spliced from 3 exons. The record is from RefSeq and is a predicted model, not a curated record. NCBI's taxonomy places the organism in Eukaryota, Metazoa, Chordata, Actinopteri, Perciformes, Percidae.
ACUACUAAAAAAGUCUGGUAAGUUCAGAAAAUGACAUAAUUUUACUGUAAUGUGGCCUUUAAAAUCAGGAAAAGACGACACUUAUUUCAUAUCACGAGAUUACGAUAUCCAAAAUUUAAGACGAUAUCUAGCUUCAUAUAUCGAUGUUGAUAUAUCAAUAUAUUGCCCAGCCCUAUAUAAAACUAUUAACAAAAGUAAAAUAAAACACACAAUUAAAUAAAUAGAAUAAAACUGGUGAAUUUUUUUUUUUUUAAACCAAGUUUCUCACCUUUUGGAUGGGAAUCAUUGCUGCAACAUCACUGCAAAUAAAUCCUGUAUUUUUAAAUUAGGUAAGGAGAACAGCUAAAAGCCCCGGGUCAAAUGAUAGACUUCUGCCAUGAGGUGCCUUGUAUGUCAUCUUUCUAGAAGGGCACUCUGAGAGCGCAGACCUCCGCCAAUGCAUGCACUAUCUCAUAAUGUUCAUGCAGUGUGAAUACCCUGAAAGUC